Molecule: ribosomal RNA, 252 nt
Filed under: uncultured bacterium
Lineage: Bacteria
Description: partial 16S ribosomal RNA
Rfam family: Bacterial small subunit ribosomal RNA
Source: RNAcentral
UACGUAGGGGCCAAGCGUUGUUCGGAUUUACUGGGCGUAAAGGGCGCGUAGGCGGCCUUGUCAGUCAGGCGUGAAAGCCCCGGGCUCAACCUGGGAAGGCGCUUGGGACGGCGAGGCUGGAGUUCGGGAGAGGAGAGUGGAAUUCCCAGUGUAGAGGUGAAAUUCGUAGAUAUUGGGAAGAACACCGGUGGCGAAGGCGGCUCUCUGGACCGACACUGACGCUGAGGCGCGAAAGCGUGGGGAGCAAACAGG